Molecule: ribosomal RNA, 253 nt
Filed under: uncultured bacterium
Lineage: Bacteria
Description: partial 16S ribosomal RNA
Rfam family: Bacterial small subunit ribosomal RNA
Source: RNAcentral
UACGAAGGGGGCUAGCGUUGUUCGGAAUUACUGGGCGUAAAGCGCACGUAGGCGGAUACUUAAGUUAGGGGUGAAAUCCCAGAGCUCAACUCUGGAACUGCCUUUAAUACUGGGUAUCUCGAGUCCGGAAGAGGUGAGUGGAAUUCCGAGUGUAGAGGUGAAAUUCGUAGAUAUUCGGAGGAACACCAGUGGCGAAGGCGGCUCACUGGUCCGGUACUGACGCUGAGGAGCGAAAGCGUGGGUAGCAAACAGG